Molecule: long non-coding RNA, 790 nt
Organism: Oncorhynchus tshawytscha (Chinook salmon)
Lineage: Eukaryota; Metazoa; Chordata; Actinopteri; Salmoniformes; Salmonidae
Source: Ensembl
GUGUGUGUGUGUGUUACUCACUGUGCUAUGGCCCGUAGGUUACUCAGUAUGUAGUCUGUGUGUGUUACUCACUGUGCUAUGGCCCGUAGGUUACUCAGUAUGUAGUGUGUGUGUGUUACUCACUGUGCUAUGGCCUGUAGGUUACUCAGUAUGUAGUCUGUGUGUGUGUGUGUGUGUGUGUGUGUGUGUGUGUGUGUGUGUGUGUGUGUGUGUGUGUGUGUGUUACUCACUGUGCUAUGGCCUGUAGGUUACUCAGUAUGUAGUCUGUGUGUGUGUGUGUGUGUGUGUGUGUGUGUGUGUUACUCACUGUGCUAUGGCCCGUAGGUUACUCAGUAUGUAGUGUGUGUGUGUGUGUGUGUGUGUGUGUUACUCACUGUGCUAUGGCCUGUAGGUUACUCAGUAUGUAGUGUGUGUGUGUGUGUGUGUGUGUGUGUGUUACUCACUGUGCUAUGGCCUGUAGGUUACUCAGUAUGUAGUGUGUGUGUGUGUGUGUGUGUGUUACUCACUGUGCUAUGGCCUGUAGGUUACUCAGUAUGUAGUGUGUGUGUGUGUGUGUGUGUGUUACUCACUGUGCUAUGGCCCGUAGGUUACUCAGUAUGUAGUCAGAGACGGCAGGUAUCAGCUGUUUCACCGUGUCGUCCAGCAGGUCACACUCCAGGACGUACAGCAGGCCGUGCAGCGCUCCCAUACGGCUGGGGAGGUGGGUGCUGUGCAGGGUCAGCUCCACCACCCGACACACAGGUUCAGAGGUCGCCUUGUCCUGAACACACACACAGGUUUGUAAGCACAC